Chinchilla lanigera (long-tailed chinchilla) is the source of this 1552-nucleotide long non-coding RNA. RefSeq lists it as uncharacterized. The record is from RefSeq and is a predicted model, not a curated record. NCBI's taxonomy places the organism in Eukaryota, Metazoa, Chordata, Mammalia, Rodentia, Chinchillidae. The transcript has 2 exons.
CAGACCAGCUGGCAAGGCAUAGCAUAGCGUGACAUCUACCAGUAGGGUCCUCAUUCACCAGACAUUUGUCAUUUACACUAGAGGGGUGAAUUUCAGAAAUAUUUUAGGGGAAAAUGUGAGCUCUGGGAUAAAAGAGGCAGAAGCCAAGAUAGGCUGGGAAAGGGUUUGAGAGUCUGCAUUUCUGACAUGCUCCUAUGUUGGAAGGUCACGCUAUGAAUAACCAGGCCCUAGAGAACAUCUGAUGUGAUUUGGCUGGGGAAUAGUGGUAGAGAAGAGCUGGAAAAGUAGGCAGAGGCCAGGUUCCAGGCCGAGGAGUUUGAACUGUAUUUGGCAGGCAACACACCACCUCUGAAGGUAUUUGGGUCAUGAAGUGAGCCAGCCCUGACUUAGGAAAAUUAGCUAGAAAUCACUCAGAGGAAAGGCUGGAGCAAGAGCGACUAGAAACACAGUGAUGUGUCAUCCACCCACCCACCUAGCCAUCUGCCUACCCAUCAUACACAUUUGCUAGAUACAUAUUCCAGGAAAAAUGAUGAAGGGAAGCCAGUCUUCCGCCAGAGGGAUCCCAAGCCUGAGCCCAUAUUAUGUCUACAGGGUUGCAUAGUGGUGUGGACAACUAGCACACCUAAGGGCAUGAGGCUCCCUGCAGGAGGGGACCCUUGAGACCUGUCAGAGAACAGUGAGAGUUGUUAGGGUGAGAAGGGUCCAGUUAGAGGGAGCUACUUGAGCUAAGGGUGGAGGCAGAGAAGGCCAGAGAGGUGUACUAGUCAGGGUGCCGGCUCACAAACAAGAGAGCUGGUUCUGAUUACAUCAGUGUAUCGGUAGCCCCUAGAAUUGACCCAGAGCUUGGAGAACCAGCUUAGGCAGGAGCCCAAGGUCCUGCCCUGUUCCCUUCUCACUGAGGAAUAUCUCCAAGAGGGCAGGAUGUGGCCAGCCAAGAUGAUAAUGUCCACCAUCAGCAGCAGUCAUAACUACUAGAAUCUGGCACACUUGGCACACAGCCCUGUGUGAGGUGCUUCACACAGAUCGUCACCUGGCCUCCUCCCUGUAAUACUAGAAGAAGGACCUCCGCAGUAAGGCUGGGGAAGCUACGGCUUAAGGAGGAUCAGAAACUUGCCCAGGGUCACCCAGCUGCCAAGUGCUGGAGGUGCAGUUGAAGCUGAGUCUGUUGAACUUGCAGACCCAGAAGAGUGAGCUGGAAGCGGGGUGGGGCAGGGCCGGGCCCGCAGGAGUGCGAGGACUGGGGAGACACAGUAGCAGUGUGAUCUCCAGGGUCUCUGAUAGCCACUGCCUCCACCAGAGAGGGAAAGACAAGAGUGCUUGGUGGGAAGGACUGUGGCCUGCGGCUGACGGAGAAGCAGGACGGCCAAGAGCAGCACUGGACCAGUUACCGGAGGAGCAGAUUUUUAUAAAGCAAGGCUUCCUGCCACAUACCCACCUCCCUUAUGUUUUCACCAGGAGAUGAAGAUGAGCCGGCAUACAACCUCUGCUGCUGCCAUGCUGAUAGACUCUUAGCCCCUGAGCUGUGAACUAAAAUAAACUUCUUUCCUUGUAA